This 553-nucleotide ribosomal RNA is filed under the name uncultured bacterium. RNAcentral describes it as "bacterial SSU rRNA". It matches the Rfam family "Bacterial small subunit ribosomal RNA", at positions 45 to 535 of the family's 1533-position model. The record is from RNAcentral.
AGCCUAACACAUGCAAGUCGAACGGUAGCACAGAGAGCUUGCUCUCGGGUGACGAGUGGCGGACGGGUGAGUAAUGUCUGGGAAACUGCCUGAUGGAGGGGGAUAACUACUGGAAACGGUAGCUAAUACCGCAUAACGUCGCAAGACCAAAGAGGGGGACCUUCGGGCCUCUUGCCAUCAGAUGUGCCCAGAUGGGAUUAGCUAGUAGGUGGGGUAACGGCUCACCUAGGCGACGAUCCCUAGCUGGUCUGAGAGGAUGACCAGCCACACUGGAACUGAGACACGGUCCAGACUCCUACGUGAGGCAGCAGUGGGGAAUAUUGCACAAUGGGCGCAAGCCUGAUGCAGCCAUGCCGCGUGUAUGAAGAAGGCCUUCGGGUUAGUAAAGUACUUUCAGCGGUGGAGGAAGGUGUGUAGGUUUAAUAACCACAGCAAUUGACGUUAACCCGCAGAAGAAGCACCGGCUAACUCCGUGCCAGCANACAGCGGUAAUACGGGAAGGGGUUGAGCAAAGGCGGUACCAAUCGGAAAUUAACUGGGACGUAAAAAACGG